GACGAACGCUGGCGGCGUGCCUAAUACAUGCGAGUUGAGCGAUGAAGAUUGGUGCUUGCACCAAUUUGAAGAGCAGCGAACGGGUGAGUAAUGCGUGGGGAAUCUGCCUUUGAGCGGGGGACAACAUUUGGAAACGAAUGCUAAUACCGCAUAACAACUUUAAACAUAAGUUUUAAGUUUGAAAGAUGCAAUUGCAUCACUCAAAGAUGAUCCCGCGUUGUAUUAGCUAGUUGGUGAGGUAAAGGCUCACCAAGGCGAUGAUACAUAGCCGACCUGAGAGGGUGAUCGGCCACAUUGGGACUGAGACACGGCCCAAACUCCUACGGGAGGCAGCAGUAGGGAAUCUUCGGCAAUGGACGAAAGUCUGACCGAGCAACGCCGCGUGAGUGAAGAAGGGUGUCGGAUCGUAAAACUCUGUUGGUAGAGAAGAACGUUGGUGAGAGUGGAAAGCUCAUCAAGUGACGGUAACUACACAGAAAGGGACGGCUAACUACGUG
RNAcentral lists this ribosomal RNA (497 nucleotides) under uncultured bacterium. RNAcentral describes it as "partial 16S ribosomal RNA". It matches the Rfam family "Bacterial small subunit ribosomal RNA", at positions 28 to 507 of the family's 1533-position model. The record is from RNAcentral.